GAUGAACGCUGGCGGCGUGCCUAAUACAUGCAAGUCGAGCGAACAGACGAGGAGCUUGCUCCUCUGACGUUAGCGGCGGACGGGUGAGUAACACGUGGAUAACCUACCUAUAAGACUGGGAUAACUUCGGGAAACCGGAGCUAAUACCGGAUAAUAUAUUGAACCGCAUGGUUCAAUAGUGAAAGACGGUUUUGCUGUCACUUAUAGAUGGAUCCGCGCCGCAUUAGCUAGUUGGUAAGGUAACGGCUUACCAAGGCGACGAUGCGUAGCCGACCUGAGAGGGUGAUCGGCCACACUGGAACUGAGAAACGGUCCAGACUCCUACGGGAGGCAGCAGUAGGGAAUCUUCCGCAAUGGGCGAAAGCCUGACGGAGCAACGCCGCGUGAGUGAUGAAGGUCUUCGGAUCGUAAAACUCUGUUAUUAGGGAAGAACAAAUGUGUAAGUAACUAUGCACGUCUUGACGGUACCUAAUCAGAAAGCCACGGCUAACUACGU
RNAcentral lists this ribosomal RNA (496 nucleotides) under uncultured bacterium. RNAcentral describes it as "partial 16S ribosomal RNA". It matches the Rfam family "Bacterial small subunit ribosomal RNA", at positions 28 to 506 of the family's 1533-position model. The record is from RNAcentral.